RNAcentral lists this long non-coding RNA (427 nucleotides) under Manihot esculenta (cassava). RNAcentral's name for it is "long non-coding RNA (MESC_LNC007385)". Lineage: Eukaryota; Viridiplantae; Streptophyta; Magnoliopsida; Malpighiales; Euphorbiaceae. The record is from RNAcentral.
UUUCAGUAAAAUAAUUCAAUAAAUGGCACCGACGCGUAAACCAAGCAAUGGCAGAUCGGUUCGGUUGAAGGAGGCGGUUGCAGGCGUUGAAGCAAAUGGCGAUGCAGAUGGAGAGGGAGUUUGGCCAAUGACUAAGAGCGGUUUUUUCAUUUUGGAUUGUAGAGGAGAAGGAGUGGAAUGGAAGGGCUACUAGGGCUUGGAGGUUUAGGGUUAGGGUUAAGUUUGGGGGACUGUCCUUUGGAGAGAGUGGAGGCAGGGAGUGGAGAAGAAGAAGAUGCUUUCGAGAAGAAAGAAGUGAUUUGGCGCUGUGGAUUGACCAGCGGUGAUCUGCCAUUGCUUGGUUUACGCGUCGGUGCCAUUUCCGUGGUUCGAGAGAAAGGCAGCAGCCAGGAGGGGAGUGACUGAGUGAGGUUUAAGUGAAAAGGUC